GGUAAUGGUGUGCCGGCAGCCGAGGUAAUACAGAGGGUGCGAGCGGUAAUCGGAUUUACUUGGCGUAAAGCGCGCGUAGGUGGCGAAUUAAGUCAAAUGUGAAAUCCCCGGGCUUAACUUGGGAAUUGCAUUCGAUACUGGUUGGCUAGAGUAUGGGAGAGGAUGGUAGAAUUCCAGGUGUAGCGGUGAAAUGCGUAGAGAUCUGGAGGAAUACCGAUGGCGAAGGCAGCCAUCUGGCCUAAUACUGACACUGAGGUGCGAAAGCAUGGGGAGCAAACAGGAUUAGAUACCCGGGUAGUC
RNAcentral lists this ribosomal RNA (300 nucleotides) under uncultured Lactobacillus sp. Its description in RNAcentral is "bacterial SSU rRNA". It matches the Rfam family "Bacterial small subunit ribosomal RNA", at positions 496 to 795 of the family's 1533-position model. Lineage: Bacteria; Bacillati; Bacillota; Bacilli; Lactobacillales; Lactobacillaceae. The record is from RNAcentral.